Molecule: long non-coding RNA, 3270 nt
Filed under: Sus scrofa (pig)
Lineage: Eukaryota; Metazoa; Chordata; Mammalia; Artiodactyla; Suidae
Description: lncRNA (ENSSSCG00000049319.2)
Source: RNAcentral
CACCCCACAGCAUAUGGAGUUUCAGGGCCAGGGAUCCAAUCCUGAGCCGCAGCUGCGGCAACAUGGGAUCCUUAACCCACUGUGCUGGGCCGGGGAUCAAACCUGCAUGCCAUCGCUCCCAAGACACCGCUGAUCCUGUGGGAUCAGUUCCCACAGUGGGAACUCCGGUGUCAUCCUCUUUAGAAAUGAGGACUGUGGCCCGGGGCCUGACCCACCUUGACAGGAGGAAAAAUGGAGCCAGAGGAUCCUGAGGCUUUCGGGGCAGUGAGGACCCUGUGUGCCUGGGAUCAGGGGGAUCCCGUCAGAGAAGGUGGUUAACCUCGGAGCAUAACAAGAAGUAGGGAUGGACCCAAAUAGAUGCUUCUAAGAAUAGAAUUGGAGGGGAGUUCCCACGGUGACUCAGCAGGUAGUGAAACCCACGAAUAUUCAAGAGGAUGUGGGUUUGAUCCUUAGCCUUGCUCAGUGGGCUAAGGAUCCAUCGUUGCUGUGAGCUGCAGUGUGGGUCGUAGAUGUAGCUCAGAUCCCACAUUGCUUUGGCUGUGGUGUAGCCCAGCAGCUGCUGCUCCAAUUUGACCUCUAACCUGGGAACUUGCAUAUGCCACAGGUACGGCCCUAGAAAAAUUAAAAAUUAAAAAAAAAAGAAUAUAAUUGGAGAAAGACAUUACAGGAUAGGGAAAGCGUUCAAUGACUGGGCUGUGGGAAGGGCAGGCGAGAGGGUUAGGAUCAUUCAAUUAGACCCAUGGACAAAAUGCCAUCUCUGAAAAGUGGCUGUGAUAUUAGGAUUUCCACCCAAAUGACUGAUGGGACUCAUUAUACCAAUCUCUGAGAUUGGACAGCAAGGCCACCACUUUCAGCAAUUAAAUAAAAGGCAGGUGCUGCAGUCUGUAAAAAGUUCUGCCAUUUGCUGUCAUAUUCGAGGGGUUUAUUCCAUACCAUUGUAUGCGUAGUUUCUUAGUUUGACGAAGAUACAGGCAAUUACACUUGGCUCUUCUGUUACCAGACAUCGUCCUUGAAAUCUAUGCAACAGACUUAUCAGCAAAGCUGCCUCCUAAACCAAGGCCAGGUUUUCAGCAACUAAAUCCCUUCAGUGGGGUCAAAACAGCCUCAGAAGGUGACACCCUUCCUGGGUGACCAAGGACCACCCACAUUCCUUGCACUUGGGCAGCCCAGAUCCUGGGGCACCAGCAGUGGCCCCGAAGUUCAGAAUUCACCUGCACAGCUGCCGCUGCUUUGUAGGUCUAGUUUUUAAAAAUAACCUCAGGGAGUUCCCGUCGUGGCGCAGUGGUUAACGAAUCCGACUAGGAACCAUGAGGUUUCGGGUUCGGUCCCUGCCCUUGCUCAGUGGGUUGACGAUCCGGCGUUGCUGUGAGCUGUGGUGUAGGUUGCAGACGCGGCUCGGAUCCCGCGUUGCUGUGGCUCUGGCGUAGGCCGGUGGCUACAGCCCCGAUUAGACCCCUAGCCUGGGAACCUCUAUAUGCCGCAGGAGUGGCCCAAGAAAUAGCAAAAAGACAAAAAAUAAAAAUAACCUCAAAUGUUGGUGUAGUGUGGUUUUGAGUGUCUGAAGCAUGUGCCUUAUGUAGUUACUUAGAUACAGAAGACAGCGGAACUGAUGUUAUUUUAAUAAUCCCAGGUAGAUUUCCUGACACCUGGGUUUAUUGCUGUCAUUCCCGCAGCACGAAAAGGCGGAUACAGUUGAAGAAAAGAGGUGAAUUUCUAUAAUCAUGAAAACAGAGGAAGGAGGUUGUAGAGGAGCUAAGGCUGGCUGGUGGGGGCUGGGGACAUCACAGGGCUUUAUCCACUUCUGAGUGUAGGUGUUUCUCCAUUCUAGCAAAAGGGGACAUGUGGUCAAGUAGGGCCGCCAUAUAGCAUUUCGAGGCUUCCAGGUCCCAGGUUUUCCAGUAAACACAGGAUGUCAGCACCCCAUUCACAGACUCAUAGAGGAACUCUAUGUUGGAACCAUAAUGUUGGGUACGUUCUAGAAAUCCUUCACCCCUCAGUUGAGGCUCAUCUCUUUCCCUCAAAACCUCCUUCUAAAGGUCAUUUCACUGCCAUUCAACCCAUAUCUUUGAGCAGCGACUCUGUGCCAGGAACUGUGCCAAGAGUCCGAGGUUCCUCAGUGAAGAAAACCAGGACCCUUUCCUGCACAAAGCUUUCGUUCAAGUGGGAUGAACUGUAAACAAUACACAAAACAGAAAUAUUAUAAUAAAUAGAUAUUGUCUACUCUGCUAGAAGUGGAUGAGUGCGAUGGGAAAAACAUAACCAGGCAGUGGGGGCCCACUGGGUGGGGUGAGCUGCAUUUUCCAUAGCAGGUGAUCAGGGUGUGUCUCCUUAAGGAGACAACUGAGAGCAUCCUGGUGCUCUAGUGUUUAGGACGCGGCAUUUUCACCUCUGCAGCCCAGGCUCAGUCCCUGGUCUGGGAACGGAGAUCCCACACGUUGCUGCUGCAUGUUGCAGCCAACAAAAAAGAAAAAAAGGAGCUAAUUGACCAAAGAUGUGAAGGAGGCCAGGAACUGGGCCCUGAGACUGCCCUGGGAAAGGGUGACCUUGGCAGAAGGAACAGCCUGUGCAAAGGCCCUGAGGAGGCCGGGUGUGCCUGGGAUGUUCCAGGAAGAGCAAGGAAGCCAGUGCAGCAGGAUCAUAUGGCCUUUCAGGGAGGCCAGCGAGAGCGCGGGGAGGCGUGAAGGGAUGUCAGGGAAUCAGAGGCAGACAGGGAUAUUGAAGAUGUGGCUUUUCCUCGGAGGUGGGAUGCCACCAGAGGGUUCAGAGCAAGGAAGGGGGAUGCUCUGUCUGUGUUUUCAAAAGGGCAGUCUGGAUGCUGCGUGGGAACAGACCAAGGGAGGUAGUGAUGGAGGCCAUGAAAUCUAUGAUACCGAGGAGCAAGAGAGAGUUCUGGGCUGGAGACCAAUGGGCAUCCUAAGGACCAGAGAGGGUAUUUUAAACCGAGGGGCUGGACGAGACCCCCCGAGGACAGCCAGGGAUGUAGGAGGUGGAGGCUGAGCACCAGGCACCCCAGAGGAGGCAGAGCCAAGAGGUGGAACAAGCAAAGAAGUGGCCAGUGAGCGGGAGACCCGAGAGCAUCAAGUGUCCUGGAGGCAAGCGGGCGAGGCCAGCUGUUGGGACAGCAAGAUGAGACGGGAGACCAGACCACAGACCCAGCAUCACAGAUCAGCAGCGGCCUCGGUAAGAACCAUCGGACGGAGUCAGGCUUUCGAGUCUGAUGAGAAGGGGCUUUGGGAUAGAACAGGAGACACAUUUCAGAGAACAAAUAUG